AUUGAACGCUGGCGGCAGGCCUAACACAUGCACGUCGAGCGAGAGGCGGACGGGUGAGUAAUGUAUGGGGACUGCCCGAUAGAGGGGGAUAACUACUGGAAACGGUAGCUAAUACCGCAUACUAUCCGAUAACCCAUAUGGGAUUAGCUAGUAGGUGAGGUAAUGGCCUACCUAGGCGACGAGCCCUAGCUGGUCUGCGAGGAUGAUCAGCCACACUGGGACUGAGACACGGCCCAGAAUCCUACGGAGGCAGCAGUGGGGAAUAUUGCGCAAUGGGCGCAAGCCUGAUGCAGCCAUGCCGCGUGUGUGAAGAAGGCCCUAGGGUUGUAAAGUACUUUCAGUAGGGAGGCGUUACCGACAGAAGAAGCACCGGCUAACUCCGUGCCAGCAGCCGCGGUAAUAC
This 403-nucleotide ribosomal RNA is filed under the name uncultured bacterium. Its description in RNAcentral is "partial 16S ribosomal RNA". It matches the Rfam family "Bacterial small subunit ribosomal RNA", at positions 30 to 526 of the family's 1533-position model. The record is from RNAcentral.